CAUGGUAGCUACUUGGCAAAAGCACAACUUCAACAAAUUAUUCCUGUACAUUCCAUAUCCUUCAGAAAUUACAUAAACAUUGCUUGAAGAAGAGCAUAAAUAUCCAUUAUCUCCUUGGUAAUCUAAUGGUAGCUAUAUGGUGGUCUCACUAGAGAAUGUGAUGACGAUACACGCUUUCCUAUUAAGCAUGCCAUAAAGCUUGUUGGUAUCCUUCUUCUUCAUCCUAUUUUGGGUGUCAAAGAACUUGAGAUCCCCAAAGAGCUUGGUUGGUCAAGAUAGAGAACGUCCCACCAAACUUUGACCAAAUGAGACUUAGAUGCAUACAUAGGUAUGCCACCAACAUCAAACUAGCUAAAAAGAUAUGAGU
Molecule: long non-coding RNA, 367 nt
Filed under: Elaeis guineensis (African oil palm)
Lineage: Eukaryota; Viridiplantae; Streptophyta; Magnoliopsida; Arecales; Arecaceae
Description: long non-coding RNA (EGUI_LNC065829)
Source: RNAcentral